Non-coding RNA from Microcebus murinus (gray mouse lemur), 2553 nucleotides. Lineage: Eukaryota; Metazoa; Chordata; Mammalia; Primates; Cheirogaleidae. The record is from RefSeq and is a predicted model, not a curated record.
UCCCGAGGCGCGCUCCCGGGCUGCUGGCCGGGCCCUGUGUCUGGGGACGGUCAGGGUCCCCACUCUGGGGAACAGCGAGUGCGACCCGCAUUCGUCCUCCGCACUCGUGCCUUUCCUUUGUGCAGCCCGGUCACCGAACGGCCGACAUGGAAGAGCUUCUCCCUCCUGAAGUUCCCGCUGCAAGUGCCUGCGUCUGUUUCCUGAUGUUUUGUCGUUCUGCCCUUGGGGGGGGCGGGUUCUUUCCCGCCGCCUGAGUUCUUUCGGGACAGCGGUUGGACUUGAGAUGGGGCCACAGGAGUGAAGUGACCGCGGACUCACACUGCCAGUGAGUGGCAGGACAGCCGAACCCAGAUAGAGCUGAAGUCGCACAACAUACAUCCUGAAGCUCUCGCCUGAGCACGCCGCCGAGUUCUGCCUUGAACCUCCUCAUUUAGCAGCCUCAUGCCACCCCCCAAGUGGCUUCUUUCACCUCUGCUAAUAUAGGUGAUUUACCAAGACUACCCCAGAAGUGAUGCUGUCUUCUUCUAGUGCAUGAUGUCUGGAAGAAUCUGAAGUCACCAUUACUGCAAACACGAGGACGCCUGUUUUCGCACAGCCUCACCAGUGCCGAGCGUGUUGUGAGAAUUUUCAUUUUCACCUUCCUGAUAGGUGAAAGCCCUGUAGUCACUCUACCCAGGACUCAAAGCCCAGGUGAUCGUGGGUGAGUCACCUGACCUGUCUAUGCUCCCUUUCCUGUAAAUUCGGGGAUAAUAGCACCUAUUUCUCAGGGUUGUUAGAUUAAAUGGAGGCAGAGCACUUAGCAUUCUCCCUGUCUCGUGGGAAGCACUCCAUAAACAGGAAGGAUUAUUAAGGUCUCUCUCAACCGACAAUGGAUGGCAAACAUUCAGGGGCCCCUAUAGAGAUAAAGGGAAAGCUUCCCCUUCACUCCCUGAAAGUUUGCUGAAAAUCAACUGACAAAAGGCAGAUAAAUUGGAGAAAAGGCAUACAAAAUUUAUUCUGAUGUGCAUAGCAUGGGGUAAUCCCAGUGAUUACCCAAGAACCCAGUGGGGUGCACACAGAUGCUUAUAUACCCUUCUUUGUGGGGGAGAGGGAGGAGGGAGAAAUGUGGCAAUUUGAGGGACAAUUAUUUUUAGGAGGAAAUGAAUGGGCCUAAUGCUCAGAUAAUGGUCAGUGAAUAAUUUUCUUUGGAAAUUGAAUAGGAUGGAGAACAGAUGAUAGUUUGGUACGAAGUUCAUCUGAGCUCUACGUGGGGUGUUUAAUGUUCAGUCUCUUCCUCUGUGAUAUGAGUUUUAAUCUUCCCCAGAUAAUACAGUUUCAGGCAGCUGUGUCCCCCUUGGCAGGUCUGGUUUCUAGGUACACAAAGGAACUUCGGAGAAGAGCUUCGCCCUGUGCUUCGGGAGGGACAGCGGACUGAGAGACAGGACGAGGGGGGUCAGCGAGACCUCGAGGCUGCUUCAUGUCAAGCACAACAUUUCGGGGGUCAUCUGGCCAUUUGGAGACAUUUUUGGUUGUCACAGUUGGAUGGUGCUACUGGCAUCCGAGGCCAGAGGCCAGACGUGCUGCUGAGCAACCUACAGUGAAGAAUGGCCCAGCCCAAAUGGCGCAGGGCUGAGGGCAGAAAAGCGGGACUCUGCCAUGGGCCCUUGGAAAGGUUGCUGUCUGAAUUCCCUGUUCCGCGGUACACACUAUUCCCAUUUUAUAGAUGAGGGGACUGACGCGCAGAGAGGUUGGGCUUGCUUUGGGCUCGUAUUUAUAAAACCAAGAUUCAGUGCUGUGGGCUCCUCCCCACCCCUGUGGGUUGGAAUGACUCAGCCCCCGAGGGGAGCUGAUGGGACGCAGAGCCAGGUGGAACAGGAGGAACUUCAGAGUCGGGAAACCGGGAUCUGGUCCUGGCUCUGUCAUAGACUCACAGCGUGACCCGAGUAAGUCACUGCCCCUCUCUGGUUUUGUUUCCAAAGGAAGCUGGACAAGGUAACCUCUAGGGUUCCCCACAGUGACGACUGAUGAGACGCUGCCCCUUUGCGGCUGAGACAGUGUCUGGGGGCUCGAAAGAUGGGGAGGGUCCUGGGGGACAUUUGGGCCCACCUUAGACACUCCAGUCCACCUCCUCACACAGGAUAAAUCCAGAGGGAGGAGGAUGCGGCCCUGCCCUUGGGCAGCGGGGAAGAUGUUCUCCCUGGGCAGAAAGGACCAUGCUCUGCGUCUGCGCACCGGGCAGUUUCCAGAGGCCGGCCUCCAAGCGUGAACUCCCAGCGUCAGAACCAGACUCUUCUGCAGCCCAGCCAGACGCGGCCCUUCCCCAGAGCGUCCUCGCUGGGCUGGCACGGCCUCCUCUUAAGCUCUGGGCCCAUCUCUUCCUUGAAGUGAGGGGUACCUGGGGCGGGGGCUGCUUUAGUGGGAGCCCAGACAUGUCACAGCAAAAUUCACCUUAAAUAGCCCAGAAGCCAGAAGGGAGGCACCCUCAGGAUUACGAGGUGGAGGGCCAUUUGCUAGGGGCCAUUCCAGGGCUCUGGGACUCCAGCACUGUUCAAAAGGUAGAGACAGGGUCCCCAA